RNAcentral lists this transfer RNA (85 nucleotides) under Acerihabitans arboris. RNAcentral describes it as "Enterobacteriales bacterium SAP-6 tRNA-Leu". It matches the Rfam family "tRNA". Rfam says of the family: Transfer RNA (tRNA) molecules are approximately 80 nucleotides in length. Their secondary structure includes four short double-helical elements and three loops (D, anti-codon, and T loops). The record is from RNAcentral. Lineage: Bacteria; Pseudomonadati; Pseudomonadota; Gammaproteobacteria; Enterobacterales; Pectobacteriaceae. RNAcentral also lists the same sequence under 17 other names.
GCCGAAGUGGCGAAAUCGGUAGACGCAGUUGAUUCAAAAUCAACCGCCUUCGGGCAUGCCGGUUCGAUUCCGGCCUUCGGCACCA